This 449-nucleotide ribosomal RNA is filed under the name uncultured bacterium. Its description in RNAcentral is "partial 16S ribosomal RNA". It matches the Rfam family "Bacterial small subunit ribosomal RNA", at positions 29 to 523 of the family's 1533-position model. The record is from RNAcentral.
AACGAACGCUGGCGGCAUGCCUAAUACAUGCAAGUCGAACGAGAUCUUCGGAUCUAGAGGCGCACGGGUGCGUAACGUGUGGGAAUCUGCCCUUGGGUUCGGAAUAACAGCGGGAAACUGCUGCUAAUACCGGAUGAUGACGUAAGUCCAAGGAUUUAUCGCCCAGGGAUGAGCCCGCGUAGGAUUAGGUAGUUGGUGGGGUAAAGGCCUACCAAGCCUACGAUCCUUAGCUGGUCUGAGAGGAUGAUCAGCCACACUGGGACUGAGACACGGCCCAGACUCCUACGGGAGGCAGCAGUAGGGAAUAUUGGACAAUGGGGGCAACCCUGAUCCAGCAAUGCCGCGUGAGUGAUGAAGGCCUUAGGGUUGUAAAGCUCUUUUACCCGGGAUGAUAAUGACAGUACCGGGAGAAUAAGCCCCGGCUAACUCCGUGCCAGCAGCCGCGGUAA